This 207-nucleotide ribosomal RNA is filed under the name uncultured bacterium. Its description in RNAcentral is "partial 16S ribosomal RNA". It matches the Rfam family "Bacterial small subunit ribosomal RNA", at positions 568 to 774 of the family's 1533-position model. The record is from RNAcentral.
UGCGUAGGCGGCUUUUUAAGUCGGAUGUGAAAUCCCUGAGCUUAACUUAGGAAUUGCAUUCGAUACUGGGAAGCUAGAGUAUGGGAGAGGAUGGUAGAAUUCCAGGUGUAGCGGUGAAAUGCGUAGAGAUCUGGAGGAAUACCGAUGGCGAAGGCAGCCAUCUGGCCUAAUACUGACGCUGAGGUACGAAAGCAUGGGAAGCAAACA